Danio aesculapii is the source of this 489-nucleotide non-coding RNA. The record is from the annotation of a RefSeq genome assembly. Lineage: Eukaryota; Metazoa; Chordata; Actinopteri; Cypriniformes; Danionidae.
AUGUUUCUCUUCACCUGCAUUAUAAUACAGCUCAUCAUGGGAACUACAAUUGCAGAUGAAAUACAUCCCCUGUCUUCAGACAAACAUGUAGCUGAAGGUCAAAAUGUGACUCUGUCUUGUAAUUACAGCACCACUGGCACUGUUGACUCUCUCCAGUGGUAUCGUCAGUAUCCCAGAGCAAAACCAGAGUUUUUACUUUCUCUUAACGAAUUUUUAAACACAUCUGAACCUGAUCUUCGUCUGUUUUCAAACGCUGUAAAAGCACUGAAGCGUGUGGAUCUGCUGCUCUCCUCUGCUGCAGUAUCAGACUCUGCUGUGUAUUACUGUGCUCUGAGGCCCACAGUCACAGGAAACACACAGACACUGAGCAAAAACCUAAAGCACAGUAUUGAGUCUGUAAUAAACAAAUGUGAACACAUACUGAACUGCUCUCAACAAAUGUUCAGGAGGACAGUGUUCACCAGCCAGUAUUAUAAAGUGACGAUGUAA